This 497-nucleotide ribosomal RNA is filed under the name uncultured bacterium. RNAcentral describes it as "partial 16S ribosomal RNA". It matches the Rfam family "Bacterial small subunit ribosomal RNA", at positions 28 to 507 of the family's 1533-position model. The record is from RNAcentral.
GAUGAACGCUGGCGGCGUGCCUAAUACAUGCCAGUCGAGCGAACAGACGAGGAGCUUGCUCCUCUGACGUUAGCGGCGGACGGGUGAGUAACACGUGGAUAACCUACCUAUAAGACUGGGAUAACUUCGGGAAACCGGAGCUCAUACCGGAUAAUAUAUUGAACCGCAUGGUUCAAUAGUGAAAGACGGUUUUGCUGUCCCUUAUAGAUGGAUCCGCGCCGCAUUAGCUAGUUGGUAAGGUAACGGCUUACCAAGGCUACGAUGCGUAGCCGACCUGAGAGGGUGAUCAGCCACACUGGAACUGAGACACGGUCCAGACUCCUACGGGAGGCAGCAGUAGGGAAUCUUCCGCAAUGGGCGAAAGCCUGACGGAGCAACGCCGCGUGAGUGAUGAAGGUCUUCGGAUCGUAAAACUCUGUUAUUAGGGAAGAACAAAUGUGUAAGUAACUAUGCACGUCUUGACGGUACCUAAUCAGAAAGCCACGGCUAACUACGUG